UACGUAGGGUGCAAGCGUUAAUCGGAAUACUGGGCGUAAAGCGUGCGCAGGCGGUUUUGUAAGUCUGUCGUGAAAUCCCCGGGCUCAACCUGGGAAUUGCGAUGGAGACUGCAAGGCUAGAAUCUGGCAGAGGGGGGUAGAAUUCCGACGUGUAGCAGUGAAAUGCGUAGAGAUGUGGAGGAACACCGAUGGCGAAGGCAGCCCCCUGGGUCAAGACUGACGCUCAUGC
This 229-nucleotide ribosomal RNA is filed under the name uncultured bacterium. Its description in RNAcentral is "partial 16S ribosomal RNA". It matches the Rfam family "Bacterial small subunit ribosomal RNA", at positions 524 to 752 of the family's 1533-position model. The record is from RNAcentral.